UACGAAGGGGGCUGGCGUUGCUCGGAAUCACUGGGCGUAAAGCGCACGUAGGCGGACUCUUAAGUCGGGGGUGAAAUCCUGGAGCUCAACUCCAGAACUGCCUUCGAUACUGGGAGUCUUCGAGUUCGGGAGAGGUGAGUGGAACUGCGAGUGUAGAGGUGAAAUUCGUAGAUAUUCGCAAGAACACCAGUGGCGAAGGCGGCUCACUGGCCCGAUACUGACGCUGAGGUGCGAAAGCGUGGGGAGCAAACAGG
Molecule: ribosomal RNA, 254 nt
Filed under: uncultured bacterium
Lineage: Bacteria
Description: partial 16S ribosomal RNA
Rfam family: Bacterial small subunit ribosomal RNA
Source: RNAcentral